This is a non-coding RNA of Cinara cedri, 343 nucleotides long. The record is from the annotation of a GenBank genome assembly. NCBI's taxonomy places the organism in Eukaryota, Metazoa, Arthropoda, Insecta, Hemiptera, Aphididae.
AUAAAAUUUAGUAAACAUAUUAAUAUAAGGCUUCGUAUCGGAAAUUCUUGAACAUUUCGAUUAUCACAUUAUUUACGUAAAUUGGAAAUACAACGAUCUCUACCUCUUAUUUGUUUAGUUUAUGAUUGAUUUUUAUUUACUUCAAUUAUUAGAAAAACAAUCUAGUGUAAGAUUUAACACUAUGCCAAUUUAGAAGAUUACCUAAUUUUGUAGUUUACUAUCUCCCCUAGUGGUUGGUACUAACUACAAAACAUAAAUCAUUGUGUAUUAUGAUAACAAAUUGGCGAAAUUCUAUUGUACGAAAGUUUUUACAAACUGACUAGGUGACAAUCAAAGUAUGUUG